AAUACACUAGAGGUAGGCGGAAUGUGACAAGUAGCGGUGAAAUGCAUAGAUAUGUCACAGAACACCAAUUGCGAAGGCAGCUUACUAUGGUGUCAUUGACACUGAGGCACGAAAGCGUGGGGAUCAAACAGGAUUAGAUACCCUGGUAGUCCACGCCCUAAACGAUGAAUACUCGAUGUUGGCGAUAUACGGUCAGCGUCUAAGCGAAAGCGUUAAGUAUUCCACCUGGGGAGUACGCCCGCAAGGGUGAAACUCAAAGGAAUUGACGGGGGCCCGCACAAGCGGAGGAGCAUGUGGUUUAAUUCGAUGAUACGCGAGGAACCUUACCCGGGCUUGAAAGUUAGUGAAUGAGACAGAGACGUCUCAGUCCUUCGGGACACGAAACUAGGUGCUGCAUGGCUGUCGUCAGCUCGUGCCGUGAGGUGUUGGGUUAAGUCCCGCAACGAGCGCAACCCCUAUGUUUAGUUGCCAGCACGUUAAGGUGGGGACUCUAAACAGACUGCCUAUGCAAAUAGAGAGGAAGGAGGGGACGACGUCAAGUCAUCAUGGCCCUUACGUCCGGGGCUACACACGUGCUACAAUGGAUGGUACAGCGGGCAGCUACCUGGCAACAGGAUGCCAAUCUCGUAAAGCCAUUCACAGUUCGGAUCGGGGUCUGCAACUCGACCCCGUGAAGUUGGAUUCGCUAGUAAUCGCGUAUCAGCAAUGACGCGGUGAAUACGUUCCCGGGCCUUGUACACACCGCCCGUCAAGCCAUGGAAGCUGGAAGUGCCUGAAGUGCGUAACCGCAAGGAGCGUCCUAGGGUAAAGUCGGUAACUGGGGCUAAGUCGUAACAAGGUAACCAAGGG
RNAcentral lists this ribosomal RNA (849 nucleotides) under uncultured bacterium. Its description in RNAcentral is "bacterial SSU rRNA". It matches the Rfam family "Bacterial small subunit ribosomal RNA", at positions 645 to 1506 of the family's 1533-position model. The record is from RNAcentral.